GAUGAACGCUGGCGGCGUGCCUAAUACAUGCAAGUCGAGCGAACAGACGAGGAGCUUGCUCCUCUGACGUUAGCGGCGGACGGGUGAGUAACACGUGGAUAACCUACCUAUCAGACUGGGAUAACUUCGGGAAACCGGAGCUAAUACCGGAUAAUAUAUUGAACCGCAUGGUUCAAUAGUGAAAGACGGUUUUGCUGUCACUUAUAGAUGGAUCUGCGCCGCAUUAGCUAGUUGGUAAGGUAACGGCUUACCAAGGCAACGAUGCGUAGCCGAGCUGAGAGGGUGAUCGGCCACACUGGAACUGAGACACGGUCCAGACUCCUACGAGAGGCAGCAGUAGGGAAUCUUCCGCAAUGGGCGAAAGCCUGACGGAGCAACGCCGCGUGAGUGAUGAAGGUCUUCGGAUCGUAAAACUCUGUUAUUAGGGAAGAACAAAUGUGUAAGUAACUAUGCACGUCUUGACGGUACCUAAUCAGAAAGCCACGGCUAACUACGUG
Molecule: ribosomal RNA, 497 nt
Filed under: uncultured bacterium
Lineage: Bacteria
Description: partial 16S ribosomal RNA
Rfam family: Bacterial small subunit ribosomal RNA
Source: RNAcentral